CCUACGGGGAGCAGCAGUCGAGAAUCAUUCACAAUGGGGGAAACCCUGAUGGUGCGACGCCGCGUGGGGGAAUGAAGGUCUUCGGAUUGUAAACCCCUGUCAUGUGGGAGCAAAUUAAAAAGAUAGUACCACAAGAGGAAGAGACGGCUAACUCUGUGCCAGCAGCCGCGGUAAUACAGAGGUCUCAAGCGUUGUUCGGAAUCACUGGGCGUAAAGCGUGCGUAGGCUGUUUCGUAAGUCGUGGGUGAAAGGUGCGGGCUCAACCCGCGGACGGCACAUGAUACUGCGAGACUAGAGUAAUGGAGGGGGAACCGGAAUUCGCGGUGUAGCAGUGAAAUGCGUAGAUAUCGAGAGGAACACUCGUGGCGAAGGCGGGUUCCUGGACAUUAACUGACGCUGAGGCACGAAGGCCAGGGGAGCGAAAGGGAUUAGAUACCCUAGUAGUC
RNAcentral lists this ribosomal RNA (446 nucleotides) under uncultured bacterium. Its description in RNAcentral is "partial 16S ribosomal RNA". It matches the Rfam family "Bacterial small subunit ribosomal RNA", at positions 338 to 795 of the family's 1533-position model. The record is from RNAcentral.